This 479-nucleotide ribosomal RNA is filed under the name uncultured bacterium. RNAcentral's name for it is "bacterial SSU rRNA". It matches the Rfam family "Bacterial small subunit ribosomal RNA", at positions 28 to 499 of the family's 1533-position model. The record is from RNAcentral.
GAUGAACGCUAGCGGCAGGCUUAAUACAUGCAAGUCGAGGGGCAGCAUGACUGUAGCAAUACAGUUGAUGGCGACCGGCAAACGGGUGCGGAACACGUACAGAACCUUCCUUCGAGCGGGGAAUAGCCCAGAGAAAUUUGGAUUAAUACCCCAUAGUACAACGGAGUGGCAUCACUUUGUUGUUAAAGAUUUAUCACUUGAAGAUGGCUGUGCGGCUGAUUAGGUAGUUGGCGGGGUAACGGCCCACCAAGCCUGCGAUCAGUAACUGGUGUGAGAGCACGACCAGUCACACGGGCACUGAGACACGGGCCCGACUCCUACGGGAGGCAGCAGUAAGGAAUAUUGGUCAAUGGACGAAAGUCUGAACCAGCCAUGCCGCGUGGAGGAUGAAGGUCCUCUGGAUUGUAAACUUCUUUUAUAUGGGACGAAAAAAGGUUUUCUAACUCGUCUGACGGUACCAUAUGAAUAAGCACCGGCUA